CCUAUUAAUAUUUUUGAAAUCCAGAAUAAUUUUCAGGAAAUGCAAAAUAUUAAUAAAACUACUUAUAGCCGAAAGCCUAUUAAUAGAAUGGCUUUAUCUGGACCUAGUAGGUACUACUACCCCAGACCUACUCCUCAGGAUAUUCUGUAUGAAGAAGACUUUCUUCAUUCCCAGAAGUCUUAUCAUGGUAAAACCAUCUAUGAAUGGAAUAUCG
Molecule: long non-coding RNA, 214 nt
Filed under: Panax ginseng (ginseng)
Lineage: Eukaryota; Viridiplantae; Streptophyta; Magnoliopsida; Apiales; Araliaceae
Description: long non-coding RNA (PGIN_LNC011689)
Source: RNAcentral